RNAcentral lists this ribosomal RNA (253 nucleotides) under uncultured bacterium. Its description in RNAcentral is "partial 16S ribosomal RNA". It matches the Rfam family "Bacterial small subunit ribosomal RNA", at positions 524 to 776 of the family's 1533-position model. The record is from RNAcentral.
UACGGAGGAUCCAAGCGUUAUCCGGAUUUAUUGGGUUUAAAGGGUGCGUAGGCGGAUUGAUAAGUUAGAGGUGAAAUGUCCGAGCUCAACUCGGGAACUGCCUCUAAUACUGUUGAUCUAGAGAGUAGAUGCGGUAGGCGGAAUGUACGGUGUAGCGGUGAAAUGCUUAGAGAUCAUACAGAACACCGAUUGCGAAGGCAGCUUACCAAUCUAUAUCUGACGUUGAGGCACGAAAGCGUGGGGAGCAAACAGG